GACGUAGGGUGCGAGCGUUGUCCGGAAUUAUUGGGCGUAAAGAGCUCGUAGGCGGCCUGUUGCGUCUGCUGUGAAAGCCCGGGGCUUAACCCCGGGUCUGCAGUGGAUACGGGCAGGCUAGAGUUCGGCAGGGGAGACUGGAAUUCCUGGUGUAGCGGUGAAAUGCGCAGAUAUCAGGAGGAACACCGGUGGCGAAGGCGGGUCUCUGGGCCGAUACUGACGCUGAGACACGAAAGCGUGGGGAGCAAACAGG
This 253-nucleotide ribosomal RNA is filed under the name uncultured bacterium. RNAcentral describes it as "partial 16S ribosomal RNA". It matches the Rfam family "Bacterial small subunit ribosomal RNA", at positions 524 to 776 of the family's 1533-position model. The record is from RNAcentral.